RNAcentral lists this ribosomal RNA (441 nucleotides) under uncultured bacterium. RNAcentral's name for it is "partial 16S ribosomal RNA". It matches the Rfam family "Bacterial small subunit ribosomal RNA", at positions 338 to 795 of the family's 1533-position model. The record is from RNAcentral.
CCUACGGGAGGCAGCAGUGGGGGAUAUUGCACACUGGGGGGAACCCUGAUGCAGCGACGCCGCGUGGGUGAAGGAGUGCUUCGGCAUGUAAAGCCCUAUCGGCAGGGAAGAAGCAGGACGGUACCUGACUACGAAGCCCCGGCUAACUCCGUCCAAGCAGCGGCGGUAAUACGAAGGGGGCGAGCGUUAUCCGGAUUCACUGGGUGUGAAGGGCGCGUAGACGGCCAAGCAAGCCAGGGGUGAAAGCCCGGGGCCCAACCCCGGGACUGCCCUUGGAACUGCAUGGCUGGAGUGCGGGAGGGGCAGGCGGAAUUCCUGGUGUAGCGGUGAAAUGCGUAGAUAUCAGGAGGAACACCGGUGGCGAAGGCGGCCUGCUGGACCGCGACUGACGUUGAGGCUCGAAAGCGUGGGGAGCGAACAGGAUUAGAUACCCUGGUAGUC